GGUGAACGCUGGCGGCGUGCCUAAUACAUGCAAGUCGAACGAACAGACGAUGAGCUUUCUCCUCUGACGGUGGCGACGGACGGGUGAGUAACACGUGGAUAAGCUACCUCUAUUUCUGGGAUAACUACGGGAAACCAGUGCUGAUACCACAUAAUAUAUUCUACCGCAUGAAUCAAUAGUUAAUGACGCUUUUGCUGUCACUAUUAGACGGUUCCGCGCCGCAUUAGCUAGUUGGUAAGGUAACGGCCUACCAAGGCAACGAUGCGUAGCCGACCUGAGAGGGUGAUCGGCCACACUGGAACUGAGACACGGUCCAGACUCCUACGGGAGGCAGCAGUGGGGAAUAUUGCGCAAUGGGCGAAAGCUUGACGCAGCAAUGCCGCGUGAGUGAUGAAGGUCUUCGGGUCGUAAAGCUCUGUUAUUAGGGAAGAAAAGCUGUGUAAGAAAAUCUGGAUGUUUUGACGGUACCUAAACAGAAAGCAACGGCUAACUUCGUG
This 497-nucleotide ribosomal RNA is filed under the name uncultured bacterium. RNAcentral describes it as "partial 16S ribosomal RNA". It matches the Rfam family "Bacterial small subunit ribosomal RNA", at positions 28 to 507 of the family's 1533-position model. The record is from RNAcentral.